CAGUCGCCGCGGUAAUACGAAGGGUGCAAGCGUUACUCGGAAUUACUGGGCGUAAAGCGUGCGUAGGUGGUGGUUUAAGUCCGUUGUGAAAGCCCUGGGCUCAACCUGGGAAUUGCAGUGGAUACUGGGUCACUAGAGUGUGGUAGAGGAUAGUGGAAUUUCCGGUGUAGCAGUGAAAUGCGUAGAGAUCGGGAGGAACAUCAGUGGCGAAGGCGGCCAUCUGGGACAACACUGACGCUGAGGCACGAAAGCGUGAGGAGCAAACAGGAUUAGAUACCCCCGUAGUCCCUGUCUCUUAUAC
RNAcentral lists this ribosomal RNA (301 nucleotides) under uncultured bacterium. Its description in RNAcentral is "partial 16S ribosomal RNA". It matches the Rfam family "Bacterial small subunit ribosomal RNA", at positions 509 to 807 of the family's 1533-position model. The record is from RNAcentral.